This 161-nucleotide long non-coding RNA is filed under the name Monodelphis domestica (gray short-tailed opossum). RNAcentral's name for it is "lncRNA (ENSMODG00000047759.1)". The record is from RNAcentral. Lineage: Eukaryota; Metazoa; Chordata; Mammalia; Didelphimorphia; Didelphidae.
GUCCCAAGCUUCAGGUAUUUCUUUAUGCUCUUUUUUAGAACUACCUCCAAAGAUCUGUAAGUUUUUGGUCCUUCCAAAGUGGUAUGAUCAAAGUAGAAGAAUAGUCACUGUUCUCCUGGUCUGUGAUCUGGUCGUAAAAUAUUUCCUUUACCAUUGAUCUG